Non-coding RNA from Malus domestica (apple), 1939 nucleotides. NCBI's taxonomy places the organism in Eukaryota, Viridiplantae, Streptophyta, Magnoliopsida, Rosales, Rosaceae. The record is from RefSeq and is a predicted model, not a curated record.
GCUUAAAUCAUUUUGGAUCGAGAAAUCCAGUUCCAAAAAAAUGGAAGGGCAUUCAAUUGAAAAGUUGUCCUGACAACGACGACCAAGACAACAACAACCACAAAAACAUUAUUCAUAACGAAAGCGUGUUGACCGUCCUAUAGUGGGUGACUUUCUUCAACAAACCUUUAACCUGUUCUCUUUUGAUGAUUCCAUUCCCAACUUCGAAGAAAUUGUAAAAGAAAACCAAAUGUUAAAGUACCAUGCAACUACCUUCAAGAUUAAAGGAAAAGUCAUACGUUCGUGUGGAAGAAGGAAAAGUCAUACGUUCGUGUGGAAGAAGUUGGGUAUUUGCCUCAUCAGAUUAAAUGAAAAGUCAUACGUUCGUGUGGAAGAAGUUGGGUAUUUGCCCAACAGUUGCUCUUCAUUAGAUUAAUGUGACUUUUCCAACUUUGCUAAAAGACAUGAUCCAUGUCUGACUAGUGCAUAAUUUACUAAGGUCUCGUUUGACAGCUCGGACUGUACUGACUAUUUCUGUCGGAUAGGAUAAAUAGUCACCGGAUAGUACUGACUAAAUUAGUCGGACGUUUGGUGCAGUAUCGGACUAAUGACCGUAUUAUUUAUACGGUGUUUGGUUUUAUACCGGAUAUGAUAAAAAAAAAAAUGAUAGAAUAAUCAAAAAAGGGCAGUGCCUUUAAUUUGUCAUUCAUGUUUGGCAUAAAACCCUUUUUGGUUGAUCUUCUGCAGACAACAUGGAUCCGUUAAGGGUGUGUUUUACGACAAAUCGAGGCACUGUGAAGGUGCGGCUUCAAACGGAGAAGAAGGUCCAGCCACGUCGGCGAGGAUUGACAGAGCAUUUGGCUCUUGAAGUUUUCCGGGAAUCGAUGAGAUCUGCUCCAGAUUCCGGCGAAUAGGCGAUUGCAGGUCGUUGGGUUUCAAAUCCUGUUAACCAAAUCUAUUAAUUGGAUUUCCAACCCUCAGUAAUUUCAUAGAAUUUUAUAGAAAUUAUGGAGUUCUAAAACUUAAUUUGAAGGGAUCUAUAACUUCCCCAAUAAUUUAGGGCGGAGCAGAGCAAAGUAGAAGAAGAACGACGAUGGCUGAACGAUGCGAGAGAGAGAAAGGAACUGAGCAGAGCAAAGUAGAAGCAGAACGAUGGCGGCUAGACGGCGACGGCUGGACGACGUCUGAACGAUGGCUGAACGACGAACGACGAACGACGGUGGCUGAACGAUGCGAGAGAGAGAGAAAGGAACGCGACGAGUAAGGGACAGAGAGGGAGAGAGGGAGAGAGGGAGAGAGCGAUCGUUGUUUCCCACCCGACUAAUAAUCCUUACGUUUUAGGGAGGAUAAAUUAACAGGUGUGUACCGUAUAAAUCAUGUGGGGCCGGUAUAAUUAAUCCGGUUGCUAUUUAGUAUGGAACAACGCCAAACACUCGGGUCCGUAUUAUUUAUCCUAUCCGAUGCUUUAUACGGGCUGCCAAACAGGGCCUAACAGACAUAGCCUUUGGUAAUUGAUGCUUUACAUCUGACAUGCGUAUUGAGCAUAUUGCUGUAAUAUUAAUUCAGUUGUAUCCCAUGGCGAAAAGGUAUACCUAAAACCAAAUGAUGUAUCCCAUGCCGAGAAGGCAUAUCCAAAACCAAAGGAUAUGUCUAACGGGUGCAAUCUCCCCUAUAUAUUGGUAAAUUGGUAGAGAGAAAUUCAUUGAAAAAUUUGUUGUCUACACAAUUUCUUUGCUCUCUCUUCUCUCCAUCACACUCAUACAAUUUCUUUCUAGUUAUUUCUAAGGGAAUACAAUUCGGUUUUGCUAAUCGAAUAUUUCAUAUUUUGUUGUAUCCUGGAAAUGAUUUGCCAAGAACUCUAGCAAAUUCAUUCGAGUGGGGGUAAAUAACACUUUAAGGAAACAAUUCAAGUUGUACCUCAAAGUCAUCGUUCAAUUUAUUCUCUAUAUUUCUACAUUUA